GUAGGGGGCAAGCGUUAUCCGGAUUUACUGGGUGUAAAGGGAGCGUAGACGGCUUUGCAAGUCUGAUGUGAAAUGCGGGGGCUCAACCCCUGAACUGCAUUGGAAACUGUAGAGCUAGAGUGCCGGAGAGGUAAGCGGAAUUCCUAGUGUAGCGGUGAAAUGCGUAGAUAUUAGGAGGAACACCAGUGGCGAAGGCGGCUUACUGGACGGUAACUGACGUUGAGGCUCGAAAGCGUGGGGAGC
Molecule: ribosomal RNA, 243 nt
Filed under: uncultured bacterium
Lineage: Bacteria
Description: partial 16S ribosomal RNA
Rfam family: Bacterial small subunit ribosomal RNA
Source: RNAcentral